UCAGAAGCCUGUGGUGCUCAAGGGGACAAUAGCAGCACCGUGCCCAAGAAGGUCCCAGAGAAGAACCAAGCUAAUCAUUUUGUAAUCCGAAGACUUCCUUGACCUCCUACAACCAGGCUCCAAGGAGUUUGUAUUUAGUAAACAUAUGAAUGUUUUCUGCCUGGUGGUCUGAAUGCUUUCCCUGCCCAUCCUGUCCCCUGUGCUUUGUCUCUCCUGGUAUCCCCCCAAUAAACCGUUCACGGUUCUG
Molecule: long non-coding RNA, 247 nt
Organism: Lontra canadensis (Northern American river otter)
Lineage: Eukaryota; Metazoa; Chordata; Mammalia; Carnivora; Mustelidae
Exons: 2
Source: RefSeq, a predicted model, not a curated record